RNAcentral lists this long non-coding RNA (851 nucleotides) under Heterocephalus glaber (naked mole-rat). RNAcentral's name for it is "lncRNA (ENSHGLG00000045917.1)". The record is from RNAcentral. Lineage: Eukaryota; Metazoa; Chordata; Mammalia; Rodentia; Bathyergidae.
CCCGGGGACUUGCGGGGAGGGACGAAGGGGCUGGCACGAGCCAGCCCGCCCCCCCCGCCUGGGUCACGUGUCGGGGUCAGAUGGGGCGGGGAGCUGCACAGGGUCCGCGUCGCCCCCACCGUGGUCCGGCUGGGCCGUGGUCUGGCUGGGCCGUGGCCUGCGUCUGGUUGUGCACCCGGGUCACUCGCCCUUAGACUCCGAGGGGGCCACACCGGCCGGUUGGAGCUUCCCGCUGGCCGCUGCCUGAGGGCAGCGGUUGCCUUGGAAUCGGCCCUGGCAGUGCCCGGCCGGCCUCCGUCUCCCCACGGCGUCCCACAGGUGAAGAGAAAGGAGAGCACCCCACCCCCGGGAAGCAGAGGCCAGCCUGGGGCUUGGCUGGAGUGAGCAGGCAGGGAGCGAGUCCUGUGGGCACAGCUUCCCUGUGUCACUGUGCUUUGGGGUGGCGUGGCUGGCUCUGCAGCUGGGCGGGACUCGGGUCACACUGGCUGUCACCCCGCCUGUCACCCGGGCUUUCGCCAGCACCACAGGGCUGUGGGGCCAGUGGCAGCCCGGCCAGGGACUGCUCUCCCUGUGUCGCUCCUCUUCCUCCUCUCCUGCAAGUGGGCCACGGAGCUCCGUCCCGCCCGCAAGCUUCUGUUUCAUCUUUCCCUUCUUUCCUCGACGGGAGCUUCUUAGCACGCGCGUGCGGUGCCUGAGGAUCGCGCUCCGCGCGGCCCCGGAGCAGGUGCAGCACCCCGAUGCCUGCUCUGCCUUCCCAAAGCCCUCUCCCCUGCCGUGUGGUCUCUGUCCACAUCCCCUCUGUGUAAGGGAAGCGGCCACGCUGGUCCCCCCGCCCAGGAUCUCAGCCCGAC